UGUGAUGGGGAGCGAAAUUUAGUAGCGAAGUAGCUGAUUUCACACUGUCAAGAAAAGUCUCUAUCGAGGGUAAAGGUACCCGUACCGCAAACCGACACAGGUGGGUGAGGAGAGUAUCCUAAGGCCAGCGAGAGAACUGUUGUUAAGGAACUCGGCAAAAUGACCCCGUAACUUAGGGAUAAGGGGUGCCACCAUCAGGUGGCCGCAGAGAAUAGGCCCAAGCGACUGUUUACCAAAAACAUAGGUUUCUGCUAAGUCGCAAGACGAUGUAUAGGAGC
Molecule: ribosomal RNA, 278 nt
Filed under: Clostridioides difficile
Lineage: Bacteria; Bacillati; Bacillota; Clostridia; Peptostreptococcales; Peptostreptococcaceae
Description: partial 23S ribosomal RNA
Rfam family: Bacterial large subunit ribosomal RNA
Source: RNAcentral